RNAcentral lists this unclassified non-coding RNA (336 nucleotides) under soil metagenome. Its description in RNAcentral is "partial contains 5.8S ribosomal RNA, internal transcribed spacer 2, and large subunit ribosomal RNA". The stretch from base 1 to 120 matches the Rfam family "5.8S ribosomal RNA", at positions 35 to 154 of the family's 154-position model. The record is from RNAcentral.
GAUGAAGAACGUAGCGAAAUGCGAUAAGUAAUGUGAAUUGCAGAAUUCAGUGAAUCAUCGAAUCUUUGAACGCACAUUGCGCCCGCCAGUAUUCUGGCGGGCAUGCCUGUUCGAGCGUCAUUUCAACCAUCAAGCCCCAGGCUUGUGUUGGGGACCUGCGGCUGCCGCAGGCCCUGAAAACCAGUGGCGGGCUCGCUGUCACACCGGGCGUAGUAGAUUUUAUCUCGCUCAGGGCGUGCUGCGGGUCCCGGCCGUUAAAAAGCCUUUUUUACCCAAGGUUGACCUCGGAUCAGGUAGGAAGACCCGCUGAACUUAAGCAUAUCAAUAAGCGGAGGA